AUCUGGGCGGCGGAAUUCAGGAUGGCGAGCGUGUCUUAGCGGGCGCGUUUGUCGUUUGAUAUUUCCGUCGCCGACUGAACAAGCAGACGUCGCGACCUGUUCGCGGUCGGUCCUUGCUCGGAGGAGCUGCGUUCGAGUUCGGUUGCGGGCGCGUGUAUACGCGUUUCGCGGCGAAGGCGCGGAUCUCUGACCGGCUGGCGGACAGUACGCUCAGCGGUGUGCGGUGUCGUCGUCUCGUACGCGCGGCAUCGUUACCGGUCAGCGACGAUUUCUUCGGGCCUCUUUCCGACCCGUCUUGAAACACGGACCAAGGAGUCUAACAUGCGCGCGAGUCGCGGGGUGUCGAACGUACUAAGGUGCGCUCGUUACUUUACGAAACCCGUACAUAUUGAAGGCGUAAUGAAAGUGAAUGGGGAAGAUGGUGUUCCGAGUACACGUUCCACGAUCGUCGGUAUUGUGGCCGGUCACCCGCAUUCCCAGGGCGUCUCGAAGGUCCGUCGCGGAUGCGGACAGUCAUUCCUUGGGAUGGCUGUCGGUCUGCGACGAACCGA
This 551-nucleotide ribosomal RNA is filed under the name Greeniella capitata. RNAcentral's name for it is "eukaryotic LSU rRNA". Lineage: Eukaryota; Metazoa; Arthropoda; Insecta; Hemiptera; Diaspididae. The record is from RNAcentral.